Molecule: non-coding RNA, 24 nt
Filed under: Cricetulus griseus (Chinese hamster)
Lineage: Eukaryota; Metazoa; Chordata; Mammalia; Rodentia; Cricetidae
Source: RNAcentral
GGUGACGCGCUUGGCGUGGAUGGC